RNAcentral lists this ribosomal RNA (266 nucleotides) under uncultured bacterium. RNAcentral describes it as "partial 16S ribosomal RNA". It matches the Rfam family "Bacterial small subunit ribosomal RNA", at positions 335 to 591 of the family's 1533-position model. The record is from RNAcentral.
ACUCCUACGGGAGGCAGCAGUAGGGAAUCUUCCGCAAUGGGCAGAAAGCCUGACGGAGCAACGCCGCGUGAGUGAUGAAGGUCUUCAGGAUCGUAAAACUCUGUUAUUAGGGAAGAACAAACGUGUAAGUAACUGUGCACGUCUUGACGGUACCUAAUCAGAAAGCACGGCUAACUACGUGCCAGCAGCCGCGGUAAUACGUAGGUGGCAAGCGUUAUCCGGAAUUAUUGGGCGUAAAAGCGCGCGUAGGCGGUUUUUAAGAUCUG